RNAcentral lists this ribosomal RNA (239 nucleotides) under uncultured bacterium. RNAcentral's name for it is "partial 16S ribosomal RNA". It matches the Rfam family "Bacterial small subunit ribosomal RNA", at positions 538 to 776 of the family's 1533-position model. The record is from RNAcentral.
GCGUUGUCCGGAGUUACUGGGCGUAAAGCGCACGCAGGCGGUGCUGCGCGUUUGGGGUUACAGCUCCCGGCUCAACCGGGAGAGCGCCUCGAAGACGGCAGCACUUGAGGGCCAGAGAGGGACACGGAACUCCGGGUGGAGUGGUGAAAUGCGUAGAUAUCCGGAAGAACACCAAAGGCGAAGGCAGUGUCCUGGCUGGUACCUGACGCUCAGGUGCGAAAGCUAGGGGAGCGAACGGG